Molecule: long non-coding RNA, 596 nt
Filed under: Manacus vitellinus (golden-collared manakin)
Lineage: Eukaryota; Metazoa; Chordata; Aves; Passeriformes; Pipridae
Description: lncRNA (ENSMVIG00005005483.1)
Source: RNAcentral
GGUUCCUAGCAGGUUACAAUGCAGUUGUCCUUUUAAAACCAGAAAAAGUUUAAAGGAGGUGAGAGAAUUCGAACCCCUUCUGCCUUUGUGAGGCUGUGAGUGCUGCAGCAGGACUGAACUGCUGAGAAAAAUCACCUUUCAGAACAGGUUGUUUUAAUUACUUUUGACCAUUAAACUUGCUGUCAGGUUUUUAAUUCUUUAUUAUUAUUAUUUUAGGACCUGUUGUAGUGAAUUGCUACUGAAAAGCCAGUCUAAGGCGAUACGCAGAGCACUCGUAAAGCAGCAGUCACAUUAGGCACCAGCACUUUCUAAAUUGAGAGCAUGUUGCAGUGGACUUGAUGUUUUGCUAUUAAUCUGUGUUGGGAGACUGAAGGACAUGUUCUUCUCCAGUCAUCUUCUCCCAGAAUCCCUGGAAUAGGUGAAAAAGUAGAACAAACAAACAAGAAAGAGCAGCUGACAGACAGGAGAGAGAGAAAGCAGACAUUGUUCAUUCUGGAACCUGUAUAAAGUAAACAGCAAAAAGGUACCAGCUCACAGCUGAAACUGGUUCACACUGAGUUUAGGGAGGAUGGAUGUUUGUGGGUGUGGGCAUGUGC